Molecule: long non-coding RNA, 203 nt
Filed under: Elaeis guineensis (African oil palm)
Lineage: Eukaryota; Viridiplantae; Streptophyta; Magnoliopsida; Arecales; Arecaceae
Description: long non-coding RNA (EGUI_LNC078276)
Source: RNAcentral
GCUUCAGUUGGGGUGGAAAUUUUAGAGCCUAAUUGCUAAUAUAUCCCAUCAUGUAAAUUUUUUGAAUAAAAUUUAUCUAAGUUUUCUUUUUUUUUCUUUUUGAGAAAUAGAGAGGCAAAUGAGCAUACUACUUUUAUGUAGAGAGAAUAUCUUGCAGGCAGGACAAGAAAAAUUAAGUCGGCGCACUCUUCAUCUGAACUUGC